RNAcentral lists this ribosomal RNA (1002 nucleotides) under Acinetobacter sp. RNAcentral describes it as "bacterial SSU rRNA". It matches the Rfam family "Bacterial small subunit ribosomal RNA", at positions 66 to 1062 of the family's 1533-position model. The record is from RNAcentral. Lineage: Bacteria; Pseudomonadati; Pseudomonadota; Gammaproteobacteria; Moraxellales; Moraxellaceae.
GCUCGGGCAACACCUUAUUGCUACUUGACCUAGCGGCGGACGGGUGAGUAAUGCUUAGGAAUCUGCCUAUUAGUGGGGGACAACAUCUCGAAAGGGAUGUAUAAUACCGCAUACGUCCUACGGGAGAAAGCAGGGGACCUUCGGGCCUUGCGCUAAUAGAUGAGCCUAAGUCGGAUUAGCUAGUUGGUGGGGUAAAGGCCUACCAAGGCGACGAUCUGUAGCGGGUCUGAGAGGAUGAUCCGCCACACUGGGACUGAGACACGGCCCAGACUCCUACGGGAGGCAGCAGUGGGGAAUAUUGGACAAUGGGGGGAACCCUGAUCCAGCCAUGCCGCGUGUGUGAAGAAGGCCUUUUGGUUGUAAAGCACUUUAAGCGAGGAGGAGGCUACCGAGAUUAAUACUCUUGGAUAGUGGACGUUACUCGCAGAAUAAGCACCGGCUAACUCUGUGCCAGCAGCCGCGGUAAUACAGAGGGUGCAAGCGUUAAUCGGAUUUACUGGGCGUAAAGCGCGCGUAGGUGGCCAAUUAAGUCAAAUGUGAAAUCCCCGAGCUUAACUUGGGAAUUGCAUUCGAUACUGGUUGGCUAGAGUAUGGGAGAGGAUGGUAGAAUUCCAGGUGUAGCGGUGAAAUGCGUAGAGAUCUGGAGGAAUACCGAUGGCGAAGGCAGCCAUCUGGCCUAAUACUGACACUGAGGUGCGAAAGCAUGGGGAGCAAACAGGAUUAGAUACCCUGGUAGUCCAUGCCGUAAACGAUGUCUACUAGCCGUUGGGGCCUUUGAGGCUUUAGUGGCGCAGCUAACGCGAUAAGUAGACCGCCUGGGGAGUACGGUCGCAAGACUAAAACUCAAAUGAAUUGACGGGGGCCCGCACAAGCGGUGGAGCAUGUGGUUUAAUUCGAUGCAACGCGAAAACCUUACCUGGUCUUGACAUAUAAGAACUUUCCAGAAUGGAUUGGUGCCUUCGGGAACUUACAUACAGGUGCUGCAUGGCUGUCGUCAGCUCG